CUGGGAGAAGUCGGGCCUCGGCGGCGGCGAUCUGAGGCUCCCCCCGGCGUAAAUCCAGCGGCUGGGGUCGGCCGUGGGGGCUGCGGAUCCGUGCGCGGCCGUGUCCGCGGACUGCUGGGCCGCCCUUUACAGUUUACAAAGCACUCGCAAAUCUUUUUGACCCGGAUGACCCACACAGCAACCUUGGAGCCAGGAAGACGGGGGUCUCACUGCUCCCAGAGGAGCGAAGUGACUAUUCUGAGGCCAUUAAGCUGUUUACUCAACAUCUGUCUGCUGGGUCCCUAUACAGAGUCAAUUAGAUCUGGGGAGAAGGGUGAUGCUAAAGAACGAUGGCGACCAGAAACGUUAGAGUCAACUAAAAUAACACCGGCUUCCUAUUUCAUGCUGAUUAAAUUUUAUUGCAAGAACCAUAAAGCUGUGUUGGCCCUUUCUGUCCGUAAUGAAACUCAUCUCAGGGAUGGAAGCUGGACUGCUGCCCUGGACCAAACACGGACACAUUCGUUUCUUCCCCUUGAACCAAGGAGCUGCAGUGGACACCGGAGAGGCUGCCAGCAGGACGUCAGGCUGAAGCCCAGCACGCCCGACCGUGACGCCCCGACCGUGACAGCUAAGAACGUGGACUCCGGAAACACACGGCCCGCGUUCCAAUCCCACCCUCACUGGGUAACCUCGGGCAAGCUGUUGAACCUCUCUGUGCCUUAAUUCCCUCGUCCUGAACACAGGCACGAAAAUUCUACCUACUGCUUACACUGCCUUUCUUUUUCCCUGUGAGGAUUAAGUGAAGUGGGUAUGACACGUGCUAUGCUCAGAAGAGUGUCUGGUAUACACUAAGCACUCCAUCAGUGUGGACUAGUGAUAAAAUAUUGAUG
RNAcentral lists this long non-coding RNA (869 nucleotides) under Equus caballus (horse). RNAcentral describes it as "lncRNA (ENSECAG00000053358.1)". Lineage: Eukaryota; Metazoa; Chordata; Mammalia; Perissodactyla; Equidae. The record is from RNAcentral.